RNAcentral lists this long non-coding RNA (214 nucleotides) under Elaeis guineensis (African oil palm). Its description in RNAcentral is "long non-coding RNA (EGUI_LNC073936)". Lineage: Eukaryota; Viridiplantae; Streptophyta; Magnoliopsida; Arecales; Arecaceae. The record is from RNAcentral.
UCCCUCCAGGGGCUUCACUUCGCCUGAGAGUUGACACCUUUCUUCUGCCUGAGAGUUUAGUCACUCCAUCGGUGCCCUUUUUGACUCUAAGCACUCUUCGCACCAGUCUUCGCCAUCUCCACCGGCUCCCCGCCGCCUUCAGUCUUCCGAGCCCCUUCGAGGGGUUCUCCCGCCGGGGCUUCUGCCCCGGAGGCCAACCUCGAGAGGAUGCCAC